GAAGGCUCAUUAAGUCCGUCGAGGACGAGGCAGCAGUAGAGAAUAUUGUGCAAUAUACGGCAGUAUGACACAGAGAGCACACGCCCUCUUGGCCUGUCCAACUAAGUGCCAGCAGACGCGGUUAGACUUAGGGGCCAAGCCUUUAUGAGCAAAGGGGCGUAAAGGGUGUGUAGGCCGACUGCCCCACCCCCCCAAGGUGGUAAAUGGAAUUUUUCUGUAGCGGUAGAAUGUGCGGAUAGAAAAUAGAACCCCAAAAGCAGAAGCAAUUUACCGCGGGGCGGGAGGGGGGGCCCCUUGGGGCGCCCCUCCGGGCCACGGGCUGAAACACGAGGGUGUGGGGAACAAACAGGAUUAGAGACCCUGGUAGUCCACACUGUAAACGAUGGAGAAAAUGCGAAUGCAGCCCCGAAAGGCAGCAAUCUCCCGCCUGAGUAGUACGAUCGCAAGAUUAAAAUUCAAAAAAUUUGGCUGUUCACCGUUUCGAUUAGAGGAGCGUGUAGUUUAAUUCGAUAAACCGCGAGAUACCUUACCCAAACUUGAAUCCUUGAGGAUUCCAAGGAAUCCUUAUGGACCGGUAUUGCAUGGCCGUCGUCAGUUCGUGUAUGAAACCUUAAACGGACCCAACCCGAGGAUUAGCCGCGGAUGAAGUCAGGUCUUAUGGUCCCAAUGUUUGGGGAUAAUAUGCGCUACAUUUUCUUAUACAAUGGGAAACCUGGGAGGUGAAACCCAAAAGUGAGAGUUCGGUAGGCUAUUGGAAGAUGGCCGAAAGUUGAAUUUAAUAGUAAUCGGAAAGUAUAGCGUUCCGGUGAAAAUGGUCUAGGUGUUAGCACAAAUCGCCCGUCACCUUAACUUAGGAUGAUGGUUCGGACGCCGCCGCGCCCCCACGGGCCCCGGCGGUUACGGGCCCCUACGAAGUUAAGCAA
RNAcentral lists this ribosomal RNA (923 nucleotides) under Parazoanthus axinellae. Its description in RNAcentral is "partial 12S ribosomal RNA". It matches the Rfam family "Bacterial small subunit ribosomal RNA", at positions 314 to 1484 of the family's 1533-position model. RNAcentral also lists the same sequence under 1 other name. Lineage: Eukaryota; Metazoa; Cnidaria; Anthozoa; Zoantharia; Parazoanthidae. The record is from RNAcentral.